GAUGAACGCUAGCUACAGGCUUAACACAUGCAAGUCGAGGGGAAACGAUAUUGGAAGCUUGCUUCUGAUAGGCGUCGACCGGCGCACGGGUGAGUAACGCGUAUCCAACCUGCCCAUCACUUGGGGAUAACCUUGCGAAAGUAAGACUAAUACCCAAUGACGUCUCUAGAAGACAUCUGAAAGAGAUUAAAGAUUUAUCGGUGAUGGAUGGGGAUGCGUCUGAUUAGCUUGUUGGCGGGGUAACGGCCCACCAAGGCGACGAUCAGUAGGGGUUCUGAGAGGAAGGUCCCCCACAUUGGAACUGAGACACGGUCCAAACUCCUACGGGAGGCAGCAGUGAGGAAUAUUGGUCAAUGGACGAGAGUCUGAACCAGCCAAGUAGCGUGCAGGAUGACGGCCCUAUGGGUUGUAAACUGCUUUUAUAAGGGAAUAAAGUGGGAGUCGUGACUCUUUUUGCAUGUACCUUAUGAAUAAGGACCGGCUAAUUCCGUGCCAGCAGCCG
Molecule: ribosomal RNA, 502 nt
Filed under: uncultured bacterium
Lineage: Bacteria
Description: bacterial SSU rRNA
Rfam family: Bacterial small subunit ribosomal RNA
Source: RNAcentral